UUAAGCGACUAAGCGUACACGGUGGAUGCCCUGGCAGUCAGAGGCGAUGAAGGACGUGCUAAUCUGCGAUAAGCGUCGGUAAGGUGAUAUGAACCGUUAUAACCGGCGAUUUCCGAAUGGGGAAACCCAGUGUGUUUCGACACACUAUCAUUAACUGAAUCCAUAGGUUAAUGAGGCGAACCGGGGGAACUGAAACAUCUAAGUACCCGAGGAAAAGAAAUCAACCGAGAUUCCCCCAGUAGCGGCGAGCGAACGGGGAGCAGCCCAGAGCCUGAAUCAGUGUGUGUGUUAGUGGAAGCGUCUGGAAAGGCGCGCGAUACAGGGUGACAGCCCCGUACACAAAAAUGCACAUACUGUGAGCUCGAUGAGUAGGGCGGGACACGUGGUAUCCUGUCUGAAUAUGGGGGGACCAUCCUCCAAGGCUAAAUACUCCUGACUGACCGAUAGUGAACCAGUACCGUGAGGGAAAGGCGAAAAGAACCCCGGCGAGGGGAGUGAAAAAGAACCUGAAACCGUGUACGUACAAGCAGUGGGAGCACGCUUAGGCGUGUGACUGCGUACCUUUUGUAUAAUGGGUCAGCGACUUAUAUUCUGUAGCAAGGUUAACCGAAUAGGGGAGCCGAAGGGAAACCGAGUCUUAACUGGGCGUUAAGUUGCAGGGUAUAGACCCGAAACCCGGUGAUCUAGCCAUGGGCAGGUUGAAGGUUGGGUAACACUAACUGGAGGACCGAACCGACUAAUGUUGAAAAAUUAGCGGAUGACUUGUGGCUGGGGGUGAAAGGCCAAUCAAACCGGGAGAUAGCUGGUUCUCCCCGAAAGCUAUUUAGGUAGCGCCUCGUGAAUUCAUCUCCGGGGGUAGAGCACUGUUUCGGCAAGGGGGUCAUCCCGACUUACCAACCCGAUGCAAACUGCGAAUACCGGAGAAUGUUAUCACGGGAGACACACGGCGGGUGCUAACGUCCGUCGUGAAGAGGGAAACAACCCAGACCGCCAGCUAAGGUCCCAAAGUCAUGGUUAAGUGGGAAACGAUGUGGGAAGGCCCAGACAGCCAGGAUGUUGGCUUAGAAGCAGCCAUCAUUUAAAGAAAGCGUAAUAGCUCACUGGUCGAGUCGGCCUGCGCGGAAGAUGUAACGGGGCUAAACCAUGCACCGAAGCUGCGGCAGCGACACUAUGUGUUGUUGGGUAGGGGAGCGUUCUGUAAGCCUGUGAAGGUGUACUGUGAGGUAUGCUGGAGGUAUCAGAAGUGCGAAUGCUGACAUAAGUAACGAUAAAGCGGGUGAAAAGCCCGCUCGCCGGAAGACCAAGGGUUCCUGUCCAACGUUAAUCGGGGCAGGGUGAGUCGACCCCUAAGGCGAGGCCGAAAGGCGUAGUCGAUGGGAAACAGGUUAAUAUUCCUGUACUUGGUGUUACUGCGAAGGGGGGACGGAGAAGGCUAUGUUGGCCGGGCGACGGUUGUCCCGGUUUAAGCGUGUAGGCUGGUUUUCCAGGCAAAUCCGGAAAAUCAAGGCUGAGGCGUGAUGACGAGGCACUACGGUGCUGAAGCAACAAAUGCCCUGCUUCCAGGAAAAGCCUCUAAGCAUCAGGUAACAUCAAAUCGUACCCCAAACCGACACAGGUGGUCAGGUAGAGAAUACCAAGGCGCUUGAGAGAACUCGGGUGAAGGAACUAGGCAAAAUGGUGCCGUAACUUCGGGAGAAGGCACGCUGAUAUGUAGGUGAAGUCCCUCGCGGAUGGAGCUGAAAUCAGUCGAAGAUACCAGCUGGCUGCAACUGUUUAUUAAAAACACAGCACUGUGCAAACACGAAAGUGGACGUAUACGGUGUGACGCCUGCCCGGUGCCGGAAGGUUAAUUGAUGGGGUCAGCGCAAGCGAAGCUCUUGAUCGAAGCCCCGGUAAACGGCGGCCGUAACUAUAACGGUCCUAAGGUAGCGAAAUUCCUUGUCGGGUAAGUUCCGACCUGCACGAAUGGCGUAAUGAUGGCCAGGCUGUCUCCACCCGAGACUCAGUGAAAUUGAACUCGCUGUGAAGAUGCAGUGUACCCGCGGCAAGACGGAAAGACCCCGUGAACCUUUACUAUAGCUUGACACUGAACAUUGAGCCUUGAUGUGUAGGAUAGGUGGGAGGCUUUGAAGUGUGGACGCCAGUCUGCAUGGAGCCGACCUUGAAAUACCACCCUUUAAUGUUUGAUGUUCUAACGUUGACCCGUGAUCCGGGUUGCGGACAGUGUCUGGUGGGUAGUUUGACUGGGGCGGUCUCCUCCUAAAGAGUAACGGAGGAGCACGAAGGUUGGCUAAUCCUGGUCGGACAUCAGGAGGUUAGUGCAAUGGCAUAAGCCAGCUUGACUGCGAGCGUGACGGCGCGAGCAGGUGCGAAAGCAGGUCAUAGUGAUCCGGUGGUUCUGAAUGGAAGGGCCAUCGCUCAACGGAUAAAAGGUACUCCGGGGAUAACAGGCUGAUACCGCCCAAGAGUUCAUAUCGACGGCGGUGUUUGGCACCUCGAUGUCGGCUCAUCACAUCCUGGGGCUGAAGUAGGUCCCAAGGGUAUGGCUGUUCGCCAUUUAAAGUGGUACGCGAGCUGGGUUUAGAACGUCGUGAGACAGUUCGGUCCCUAUCUGCCGUGGGCGCUGGAGAACUGAGGGGGGCUGCUCCUAGUACGAGAGGACCGGAGUGGACGCAUCACUGGUGUUCGGGUUGUCAUGCCAAUGGCACUGCCCGGUAGCUAAAUGCGGAAGAGAUAAGUGCUGAAAGCAUCUAAGCACGAAACUUGCCCCGAGAUGAGUUCUCCCUGACUCCUUGAGAGUCCUGAAGGAACGUUGAAGACGACGACGUUGAUAGGCCGGGUGUGUAAGCGCAGCGAUGCGUUGAGCUAACCGGUACUAAUGAACCGUGAGGCUUAACCUU
This 2900-nucleotide ribosomal RNA is filed under the name Escherichia coli. Its description in RNAcentral is "bacterial LSU rRNA". It matches the Rfam family "Bacterial large subunit ribosomal RNA". The record is from RNAcentral. Lineage: Bacteria; Pseudomonadati; Pseudomonadota; Gammaproteobacteria; Enterobacterales; Enterobacteriaceae.